RNAcentral lists this ribosomal RNA (497 nucleotides) under uncultured bacterium. Its description in RNAcentral is "partial 16S ribosomal RNA". It matches the Rfam family "Bacterial small subunit ribosomal RNA", at positions 28 to 507 of the family's 1533-position model. The record is from RNAcentral.
GAUGAACGCUGGCGGCGUGCCUAAUACAUGCAAGUCGAGCGAACAGAUGAGGAGCUUGCUCCUCUGACGUUAGCGGCGGACGGGUGAGUAACACGUGGAUAACCUACCUAUAAGACUGGGAUAAUUCCGGAAAACCGGAGCUAAUACCGGAUAAUAUUUUGAACGGCUUGGUUCAUUAGUUAAAGAGGGUUUUCUGGUCACUAUUAGUUGAUUCCGCGCCGCAUUAGCUAGUUGGUAAGGUAACGGCUUACCAAGGCAACGAUGCGUAGCCGACCUGAGAGGGUGAUCGGCCACACUGGAACUGAGACACGGUCCAGACUCCUACGGGAGGCAGCAGUAGGGAAUCUUCCGCAAUGGGCGAAAGCCUGACGGAGCAACGCCGCGUGAGUGAUGAAGGUCUUCGGAUCGUAAAACUCUGUUAUUAGGGAAGAACAAAUGUGUAAGUAACUAUGCACGUCUUGACGGUACCUAAUCAGAAAGCCACGGCUAACUACGUG